GGCGCGAUUAGCUAGACGGCGGGGUGACGGCCCACCGUGGCGACGAUGCGUAGGGGUUCUGAGAGGAAGGCCCCCCACACUGGGACUGAGACACGGCCCAGACUCCUACGGAAGGCAGCAG
Molecule: ribosomal RNA, 121 nt
Filed under: uncultured bacterium
Lineage: Bacteria
Description: partial 16S ribosomal RNA
Rfam family: Bacterial small subunit ribosomal RNA
Source: RNAcentral